Glossina fuscipes is the source of this 1721-nucleotide long non-coding RNA. RefSeq lists it as uncharacterized. The transcript has 3 exons. The record is from RefSeq and is a predicted model, not a curated record. NCBI's taxonomy places the organism in Eukaryota, Metazoa, Arthropoda, Insecta, Diptera, Glossinidae.
CAGUGAAAAUCAUUGCAUUCACUUGGGUCUCUCAAAAGUACGGUGCGGUCGACAGAAGCGCCAACUAAAGCAUAACAAAAUACAAGAAAAUAAAAAAUUGAACACAAAAAAACGCAUAAAAUUGUUUUCAAUAAUUUUUAAAUAUUUUUAGAAAAAAAAAGAUGAAUUUCUGAAAUCCGUGUAAAUAAAUGAAAAGUUAAUAAGAGCCAUACAUUAAUGACGUGAGCAAAAAAAACACAUACGUUUUUUGAUAGAAGUAAAAAAAAGCUGAAAUAAAUUUCUUCCCAUAUAAGCAUUCUCUCUUAGAGUUUGUAAAAAUCAAACGUAGAGUCUAUCAGAAUUUCCAAAAAUCAAACGCCAGGUUUCUCAAAGUGAACAAAAACACCUGUACAAUUAUUUUCUGAUUAAAUAAAUUUUCCGUAUCUUAUACAAAAAUUAUUAUUAUGGCUAUGAGAAAUUCAUAAGUAUGGGACCCGAACCGGUGUACUUCAGUCUACAAUCUACCACUAACGGCAUAAAAUUAACACCAGCCUGAGGUUUGUUUUUCGCCACCGCCGUCACCACUGAAUUGUAACGUUUAUCCGUCGUUUCUUUUUCUGAAGUUCUCAAUCGGUGAUAUAAAAAUUCCCGGCAGCAAACUGCUACGCUGAAGAUAUGGAGCUGGUCGGUGUAAACAUGAACAAGCCCGAAGACGUGACUAUAGAAAGGGAAUUUGAGAAAAUCAAAAAGCUUGACAUUGCAUCAUGGAUUCUUCAAAAUCACCACCUAUCAGAUUCUUGUUCAGUAUAGCGAUGCAAAAUCUGCGAAUUCAAUACUUGAAAGCGCCUGGCACAGCUGCAAUAUAAUCAUUGCCGCAUCAUUGAGAGGAUAUUAACUAAAUCAUCAAAUCUUAAUAAAGUGCCCACCUACCAUUCGUGAGCCAAUACAUUUAUUCACCAAUUAAAAAGUCAUAGAAUCGAGUCAAACUGACAGUAACCGAAAGGCAAUAAUGUAUAAACAUUCUUAGGUGGAGGGACAGCGGUUAUUUUUCUGUUUUUUUAUAUAUUAUUUUUUACAAUACAAAACAGCAUUAUUAAUUAAUUAAUUCUUAACAAUAUAUUUUGUUUAUUAUGACGCCUCUGCCCCCGCGCCUCGUAGGGCCUUCGGGAUAGCGCGGGCAUCACGGGUGGCGUCGGUCUCUGAAAUAUCACCUGCCUUGAUGCAAAAGACGCCCCCACCAAAUGAAAUAACACCUAUCUUGAUGCUGAGAAGCUGCAUAGACGUUUUUAUAGAGCACUGCAUGGAGAUGGCUGAUGAUGACUCUGACGGACCGUCGACGUCAGCCCAGGCUUCAAGGCGAUAGUUGUCAAAUCCUAGUACGAAAUUCGAUGAACUGUCAACACACGACAGACUUGUGCAGAUCCAUUUCGACGAGGUGUACACCAAUCAUGUGGCGGUGUACUCACGGGCAGAAGAAGUGUUGCGUGGUUGCGACUAUAGCGACAAGGCGUAAACGAGGACCGUGGAGCACCGCUCUGUCCUUGUCUUCGCAGCAAGAAAUCUGCUAACCCCUUUCAACGUAAUACUCAACAGCCACCCUUGCACAAUGAAUAAACUAGGCAUGAAGCCGCUAUUUGAAGAAAAUAUCAAAGCGGCCGAAGAGCUGGAUGUAAGAGCUGCCGUCUGCGAUCGAAAUGCAGCGAACAAACGACAUAUUCGCAUCCUCAGAACUCAUAUCUAUG